GUGGGGAAUAUUGGACAAUGGGGGGAACCCUGAUCCAGCCAUGCCGCGUGUGUGAAGAAGGCCUUUUGGUUGUAAAGCACUUUAAGCGAGGAGGAGGCUACCGAGAUUAAUACUCUUGGAUAGUGGACGUUACUCGCAGAAUAAGCACCGGCUAACUCUGUGCCAGCAGCCGCGGUAAUACAGAGGGUGCAAGCGUUAAUCGGAUUUACUGGGCGUAAAGCGCGCGUAGGUGGCCAAUUAAGUCAAAUGUGAAAUCCCCGAGCUUAACUUGGGAAUUGCAUUCGAUACUGGUUGGCUAGAGAAUGGGAGAGGAUGGUAGAAUUCCAGGUGUAGCGGUGAAAUGCGUAGAGAUCUGGAGGAAUACCGAUGGCGAAGGCAGCCAUCUGGCCUAAUACUGACACUGAGGUGCGAAAGCAUGGGGAGCAAACAGGAUUAGAAACCCGGGUAGUCC
Molecule: ribosomal RNA, 451 nt
Filed under: uncultured bacterium
Lineage: Bacteria
Description: partial 16S ribosomal RNA
Rfam family: Bacterial small subunit ribosomal RNA
Source: RNAcentral